GAGGGUACAGCUCAGUGGUAGAGUGCAUGCCUAGCAUGCACAAGUUCCUGGGUUCAAUCCCUGGUCCCUUCA
RNAcentral lists this transfer RNA (72 nucleotides) under Camelus bactrianus (Bactrian camel). It matches the Rfam family "tRNA". From Rfam's summary of the family: Transfer RNA (tRNA) molecules are approximately 80 nucleotides in length. The record is from Rfam by way of RNAcentral. Lineage: Eukaryota; Metazoa; Chordata; Mammalia; Artiodactyla; Camelidae. RNAcentral also lists the same sequence under 1 other name.